GGGGUAUUCACAGUGUAUUAGGUCUUGAGGAGACUCUCUGUGCUUAGUGACUCAGAACAAGUGGGUGGAACUUGUAUAUGGGUGGUUUACAGGGUCUUCAGAUGCUAGUAGGCUGGGAGGGUGGUUUACGGGGUAUUCAGGGUGUAUUAGGUCUUGAGGAGACGCUGUGUGUAAAGGUGGCAGUAAUGGAACAGGUGUUAAUAUGUUCUCUGCAGAAUAAUAAGGAUACUGACGAGCUCCUGGAGAACCUGAGCAGCUGCCCGAACUCUGAGGACCAGUGUGAUGAUCUCUGGAGCAUGGACGAUGUCCUGGACUGUGUAUCUGCCACUCCACCCGGCACUACAGCAGCGGCAGCAGCAGCAGAGGAGGAGGAGGUGGGGGGCCGGGGCAGCGCGGCGGCGGUACAGUGCGUCAUCCCCGUCUACAUCGUUCAGGUCGGCCCUGAUCACACCCUGGUUUAUCAGACGAGAUGAAGCUGAACCACUGCUGGGAUUUUUUUUUUUUUUUCAGCACUGGGUGAAUUCUAAUAUGGUACAAAAUACGUUUAAAUACUGCUGAAAAAAGAAUACUAAUAUUAAUACUAAUUAUAAUUUAAAUUAUUCUGUUUAGCAGAUAUCAGCAGGCAGAAUUAGUUAGUUUGUGAUUUAUUGUAUUUAUUUGUGAUGUAAAUGCAUUGAUUUUUGAUUUAGUUUGUUCAUAUGAGCACCACUGUACAUAAGUAAUAAAUAAAUAAACACCAGCA
Molecule: long non-coding RNA, 742 nt
Filed under: Astyanax mexicanus (Mexican tetra)
Lineage: Eukaryota; Metazoa; Chordata; Actinopteri; Characiformes; Acestrorhamphidae
Description: lncRNA (ENSAMXG00005011403.1)
Source: RNAcentral